GGUUAAGCGACUAAGCGUACACGGUGGAUGCCCUGGCAGUCAGAGGCGAUGAAGGACGUGCUAAUCUGCGAUAAGCGUCGGUAAGGUGAUAUGAACCGUUAUAACCGGCGAUUUCCGAAUGGGGAAACCCAGUGUGUUUCGACACACUAUCAUUAACUGAAUCCAUAGGUUAAUGAGGCGAACCGGGGGAACUGAAACAUCUAAGUACCCCGAGGAAAAGAAAUCAACCGAGAUUCCCCCAGUAGCGGCGAGCGAACGGGGAGCAGCCCAGAGCCUGAAUCAGUGUGUGUGUUAGUGGAAGCGUCUGGAAAGGCGCGCGAUACAGGGUGACAGCCCCGUACACAAAAAUGCACAUGCUGUGAGCUCGAUGAGUAGGGCGGGACACGUGGUAUCCUGUCUGAAUAUGGGGGGACCAUCCUCCAAGGCUAAAUACUCCUGACUGACCGAUAGUGAACCAGUACCGUGAGGGAAAGGCGAAAAGAACCCCGGCGAGGGGAGUGAAAAAGAACCUGAAACCGUGUACGUACAAGCAGUGGGAGCACGCUUAGGCGUGUGACUGCGUACCUUUUGUAUAAUGGGUCAGCGACUUAUAUUCUGUAGCAAGGUUAACCGAAUAGGGGAGCCGAAGGGAAACCGAGUCUUAACUGGGCGUUAAGUUGCAGGGUAUAGACCCGAAACCCGGUGAUCUAGCCAUGGGCAGGUUGAAGGUUGGGUAACACUAACUGGAGGACCGAACCGACUAAUGUUGAAAAAUUAGCGGAUGACUUGUGGCUGGGGGUGAAAGGCCAAUCAAACCGGGAGAUAGCUGGUUCUCCCCGAAAGCUAUUUAGGUAGCGCCUCGUGAAUUCAUCUCCGGGGGUAGAGCACUGUUUCGGCAAGGGGGUCAUCCCGACUUACCAACCCGAUGCAAACUGCGAAUACCGGAGAAUGUUAUCACGGGAGACACACGGCGGGUGCUAACGUCCGUCGUGAAGAGGGAAACAACCCAGACCGCCAGCUAAGGUCCCAAAGUCAUGGUUAAGUGGGAAACGAUGUGGGAAGGCCCAGACAGCCAGGAUGUUGGCUUAGAAGCAGCCAUCAUUUAAAGAAAGCGUAAUAGCUCACUGGUCGAGUCGGCCUGCGCGGAAGAUGUAACGGGGCUAAACCAUGCACCGAAGCUGCGGCAGCGACGCUUAUGCGUUGUUGGGUAGGGGAGCGUUCUGUAAGCCUGUGAAGGUGUGCUGUGAGGCAUGCUGGAGGUAUCAGAAGUGCGAAUGCUGACAUAAGUAACGAUAAAGCGGGUGAAAAGCCCGCUCGCCGGAAGACCAAGGGUUCCUGUCCAACGUUAAUCGGGGCAGGGUGAGUCGACCCCUAAGGCGAGGCCGAAAGGCGUAGUCGAUGGGAAACAGGUUAAUAUUCCUGUACUUGGUGUUACUGCGAAGGGGGGACGGAGAAGGCUAUGUUGGCCGGGCGACGGUUGUCCCGGUUUAAGCGUGUAGGCUGGUUUUCCAGGCAAAUCCGGAAAAUCAAGGCUGAGGCGUGAUGACGAGGCACUACGGUGCUGAAGCAACAAAUGCCCUGCUUCCAGGAAAAGCCUCUAAGCAUCAGGUAACAUCAAAUCGUACCCCAAACCGACACAGGUGGUCAGGUAGAGAAUACCAAGGCGCUUGAGAGAACUCGGGUGAAGGAACUAGGCAAAAUGGUGCCGUAACUUCGGGAGAAGGCACGCUGAUACGUAGGUGAAGUCCCUCGCGGAUGGAGCUGAAAUCAGUCGAAGAUACCAGCUGGCUGCAACUGUUUAUUAAAAACACAGCACUGUGCAAACACGAAAGUGGACGUAUACGGUGUGACGCCUGCCCGGUGCCGGAAGGUUAAUUGAUGGGGUCAGCGCAAGCGAAGCUCUUGAUCGAAGCCCCGGUAAACGGCGGCCGUAACUAUAACGGUCCUAAGGUAGCGAAAUUCCUUGUCGGGUAAGUUCCGACCUGCACGAAUGGCGUAAUGAUGGCCAGGCUGUCUCCACCCGAGACUCAGUGAAAUUGAACUCGCUGUGAAGAUGCAGUGUACCCGCGGCAAGACGGAAAGACCCCGUGAACCUUUACUAUAGCUUGACACUGAACAUUGAGCCUUGAUGUGUAGGAUAGGUGGGAGGCUUNNNNNNNNNNNNNNNNNNNNNNNNNNNNNNNNNNNNNNNNNNNNNNNNNNNNNNNNNNNNNNNNNNNNNNNNNNNNNNNNAUCCGGGUUGCGGACAGUGUCUGGUGGGUAGUUUGACUGGGGCGGUCUCCUCCUAAAGAGUAACGGAGGAGCACGAAGGUUGGCUAAUCCUGGUCGGACAUCAGGAGGUUAGUGCAAUGGCAUAAGCCAGCUUGACUGCGAGCGUGACGGCGCGAGCAGGUGCGAAAGCAGGUCAUAGUGAUCCGGUGGUUCUGAAUGGAAGGGCCAUCGCUCAACGGAUAAAAGGUACUCCGGGGAUAACAGGCUGAUACCGCCCAAGAGUUCAUAUCGACGGCGGUGUUUGGCACCUCGAUGUCGGCUCAUCACAUCCUGGGGCUGAAGUAGGUCCCAAGGGUAUGGCUGUUCGCCAUUUAAAGUGGUACGCGAGCUGGGUUUAGAACGUCGUGAGACAGUUCGGUCCCUAUCUGCCGUGGGCGCUGGAGAACUGAGGGGGGCUGCUCCUAGUACGAGAGGACCGGAGUGGACGCAUCACUGGUGUUCGGGUUGUCAUGCCAAUGGCACUGCCCGGUAGCUAAAUGCGGAAGAGAUAAGUGCUGAAAGCAUCUAAGCACGAAACUUGCCCCGAGAUGAGUUCUCCCUGACUCCUUGAGAGUCCUGAAGGAACGUUGAAGACGACGACGUUGAUAGGCCGGGUGUGUAAGCGCAGCGAUGCGUUGAGCUAACCGGUACUAAUGAACCGUGAGGCUUACCCUU
This 2904-nucleotide ribosomal RNA is filed under the name Escherichia coli. RNAcentral's name for it is "23S ribosomal RNA". It matches the Rfam family "Bacterial large subunit ribosomal RNA". Lineage: Bacteria; Pseudomonadati; Pseudomonadota; Gammaproteobacteria; Enterobacterales; Enterobacteriaceae. The record is from RNAcentral.